UGAAUGGAAGGGCCAUCGCUCAACGGAUAAAAGGUACUCCGGGGAUAACAGGCUGAUACCGCCCAAGAGUUCAUAUCGACGGCGGUGUUUGGCACCUCGAUGUCGGCUCAUCACAUCCUGGGGCUGAAGUAGGUCCCAAGGGUAUGGCUGUUCGCCAUUUAAAGUGGUACGCGAGCUGGGUUUAGAACGUCGUGAGACAGUUCGGUCCCUAUCUGCCGUGGGCGCUGGAGAACUGAGGGGGGCUGCUCCUAGUACGAGAGGACCGGAGUGGACGCAUCACUGGUGUUCGGGUUGUCAUGCCAAUGGCACUGCCCGGUAGCUAAAUGCGGAAGAGAUAAGUGCUGAAAGCAUCUAAGCACGAAACUUGCCCCGAGAUGAGUUCUCCCUGAGACUUAGAGUCUCCUGAAGGA
RNAcentral lists this ribosomal RNA (410 nucleotides) under Salmonella enterica. Its description in RNAcentral is "partial 23S ribosomal RNA". It matches the Rfam family "Bacterial large subunit ribosomal RNA", at positions 2430 to 2835 of the family's 2925-position model. The record is from RNAcentral. Lineage: Bacteria; Pseudomonadati; Pseudomonadota; Gammaproteobacteria; Enterobacterales; Enterobacteriaceae.